This 879-nucleotide unclassified non-coding RNA is filed under the name Hevea brasiliensis (rubber tree). The record is from RNAcentral. Lineage: Eukaryota; Viridiplantae; Streptophyta; Magnoliopsida; Malpighiales; Euphorbiaceae.
GUUUGAGGGCAUGUGGGCAUCCAUGUGUACUUCUACAUUUAUCUAAUUAUUUUCUAGAUUUAUCUAAUCAUUUUCCAUUAAUACUAUGAUUGGAUGGAGGGAUUUCAGAGGAGAGAUUUGGACAUGCCUUUAUUUUAAGUUGUUUGAAUGAAAGUAUUCUUUAGUGAAUUAGAUCUUUGAAUGAAGAUUAAAUUUAUGAAAGUGUUUGAAAGCUUAUUAGGGGUGGAUUUAAAAUUACACCUUUGUAUAGGUUUUUCAUGGACUCAAGAUUCUUAAGUUUGCUUCAAAACCUUCUUGUUUCACUGUAGUUUGAUCAAGAUAGUUUUCAUGAUAUUCUGUCUGUCUUGUGUGAGCAAGACUUCACCUCCCAAUUGCCAUCUUACAUUGGAAUUCUUUUAAACAUUUUGCCAACUUGUUUGAUGGUUUCCUUUUGUAUGCCACAACUCAACAACUCAUAUGGGAAAUGUUAUUUAACGUGAAGGAUGAAUUGAUUAUUUUUACUGCUCAUGUUACCAAUAGAAAUGAUGCCUUAUACUUUCGUGCAUGAUUCACUUACCAGUAUUAUAUCACACUACCAAUUUGUGGUGUACAGGAGUCAUCUGCUAAUUUAUCUCAUUUUGAUAGGCUCCCAAAGAAGCAUUGUUGCAGACUCGUAUUGCAAACUCACUAACAUGGGCUAAAAAGGAGCCAUCCUUGGAAUGUGAUAAAGCUUUCAUUCCAUCUCUGGCUGAGCGUAUAUCCUUCACAGCACUACAACCUAUUUCAGGUUCUACUGAAUCAGAAAUGCUCAAGUUGCAGCAACAGAAGCUAAGAGCAAUGGAUGUGAAAGAGACGCUACAAAGGCUAGAUGAUUCCUUAGAAUUAGUUAAUGAGAACAUC